CAACAACAUCGCCUCCUGCAACACAACCAAGUAUAGGAGGUCCAGCCUGCCCAGUGACUACAAGUUCAACGGCCGCGGUAUUUUGACCGUGCAAAGGUAGCGCAAUCACUUGUCUCUUAAAUGGAGACCUGUAUGAAUGGCUAAACGAGGGCUUAACUGUCUCCCCCCUCCAGUCAGUGAAAUUGAUCUAUCCGUGCAGAAGCGGGUAUAAUAAUACAAGACGAGAAGACCCUUUGGAGCUUAAGGUACAAGAAUCAGCCACGUCAAGCAACUUAAUAAAGAGCAAAAACUUUGUGGACAAUGAUUUUUUACCUUCGGUUGGGGCGACCACGGAGGAAAAAAGAGCCUCCAGGUGGACUGGGAAAACAUCCUAAAGCUAAGAGAGACAUCUCUAGGCCGCAGAACAUCUGACCAAUCAUGAUCCGGCUGACAAAGCCGAUCAACGAACCAAGUUACCCUAGGGAUAACAGCGCAAUCCUCUCCCAGAGUCCAUAUCGACGAGGGGGUUUACGACCUCGAU
This 520-nucleotide ribosomal RNA is filed under the name Gymnocypris dobula. Its description in RNAcentral is "partial 16S ribosomal RNA". It matches the Rfam family "Bacterial large subunit ribosomal RNA", at positions 1808 to 2530 of the family's 2925-position model. Lineage: Eukaryota; Metazoa; Chordata; Actinopteri; Cypriniformes; Cyprinidae. The record is from RNAcentral.